AAUUGAUCGCAGUUAUAUUCUGGUUUUAGUACGUAGCGCGACUAUCGUUCAACCGGUGUACUUUACUCUCUAGUAUUCCUCUUCGCGCAUGCAACGUCGCGAAAAAGUCCCACGUCGUGUCCAUUAGUGACAAAGUGUUGAGUUCUACGACUGCGAAGCGGAAUACAGAAGAGUGAAGUACUACCAGUCAAAUGGUAGUGGCGCCACAUACUAAAGCCAUAAUACGGCUAAAAGUCAAGUCGCUUCCACAUCAUAUCAUAUCCAUGUUCACGGAAUUUAAUAUCCAUAGCAAAUUCCAUAAUUUGAUUACAAAAAAAACUAAUGGUUAUUUCUAAUUUGAGAAUAACUCGUAGAUACUUUUACAAGAUUUUGCUUCAUUUUGGUAUUUUUCUUUAUUCAUACAUUAAUCUCAUAAAAUAUUUAUUGUACUUUUAAAACAUAUAUAUGAUAUAAAAUCUGAUAUGACACUAACGUUUAAUAUGUAAAACUGUGCAAUAAAAAAUAGUUAUGAAG
Molecule: unclassified non-coding RNA, 513 nt
Filed under: Bombus terrestris (buff-tailed bumblebee)
Lineage: Eukaryota; Metazoa; Arthropoda; Insecta; Hymenoptera; Apidae
Description: misc RNA ENSBTSG00005037718.1
Source: RNAcentral